Drosophila nasuta is the source of this 1113-nucleotide long non-coding RNA. RefSeq lists it as uncharacterized. Lineage: Eukaryota; Metazoa; Arthropoda; Insecta; Diptera; Drosophilidae. The transcript is spliced from 2 exons. The record is from RefSeq and is a predicted model, not a curated record.
UUGAAUAUAUUUAAUGUUGAUAUGUAAAUUUCUACAUUAUAAUUUAUCUGUUUUUUAUUGUCUCACACUUUACAGGGUAUCUGUAAGUUGAUUUGCAUUUAUCAAUUAAAAUGCACAAUAGCAGUAGAUGGCACUUGUGCAUAGGGGAGCAUAUGAAUAUGAAUGAUAUUUACGCACUUUACAUGGCAUCUUCUAGUUCGUAACUCUCGCGAAGAUCAUAAAUAAGAGUAUGUUAAUGUGUGUAUAUUUAGGAAAUUGUUGUCGACACUCACACACACACACUCACACACAGAUGGACAUAUGCAUGCAUGCAUACAGUCGUAACUUCAUCGACGAGACACACAAACAGAAAACUACAGUUCAUGCUAAGUACUUGAAACUGUUUGCUUUACUUUUAAGUAAAGAUAUUCAUAAAUGACAAUUAUUGCUGAGUCACGCAAUCAAUGUACACUCUUUUUUUUCAUAGCCUGUUUAAUGCUGUAUUUUUCUUAAAAAUAAAAAAGGUAUGCGUGAGAAUAAUUGAUUUCACAUUAUUUUGUUGUCAUUGUUUAUUUUAGAAAUGAAAAGAUGAUUAUUAAUUUUUACAUUUUGUACAUUUAUGACGUUUCUGUACCAUAUAUGUCCACGCCAUACAGAUUUCUACGUAGUACCCUGUAAUAACAUCGCAUGGCUAACGUGAAUAUGAACUUAUUCAAAAUCAAUAUAUCGGGAAAGGAUUAAGGAUGCGGUACUGAAAUACUCCUCACUAUGAAAUAAGUUAAACUCUUAUUGAAAAUCGAUCAAGAUAUAAAUACAGGAUAACUGCAAGUCGUUCAGACCCCUCUGCUGCAUUCGGACUCGUUUUGUAUGUCAUCGUGAAUACAGAAGGCAGACAAACAUCUAUUCGUAAUAUCAAACGUGAAAAUCAACAGCCGAGGAAGACAGUAGCUCGACAUUGCAGCAUGUGUAUCUUUAAAUCCAAAUGGGAUUGGGGAGUGAGAUACAAGAUUCUAAUCAAGCAUAUUUGUUUGUUUUUUAUAAACUUGUUAUUUAAUAGAUUUCGUAGACUCUAAGAAGUUGUCGUCCAAGUUAUGGCAUUUAAUAAGAAAUAUACUAUGUGUUGUCUGACUUUAA